This 240-nucleotide long non-coding RNA is filed under the name Mus pahari (shrew mouse). Its description in RNAcentral is "lncRNA (MGP_PahariEiJ_G0005714.1)". Lineage: Eukaryota; Metazoa; Chordata; Mammalia; Rodentia; Muridae. The record is from RNAcentral.
AAUAAGGAAGAAAGACUUGUGGCCCUGACUAAGUCACCCAACAAUAGAAAUGGCUGAGAAAGAGUCAACAUCACCACACCUCAUGGUUCCCAUUCUUCUCCUGGUUGGAUGGAUUGUAGGCUGCAUCAUAGUUAUUUACCUUGUCUUCUUCUAGAAAAGGAAGAAGACUUCAAUCUGACACCAUUUAGAAGAAUAAAAAAACAGGAAUAUAACUCAUUAUUAAAGGUGUCUUGUAUUAAA